UACGUAGGGGGCAAGCGUUGUCCGGAAUCAUUGGGCGUAAAGCGCGUGUAGGCGGCUCGAUAAGUCUGCUGUGAAAGUCCAGGGCUCAACCCUGGGAUGCCGGUGGAUACUGUCGAGCUCGAGUCCGGAAGAGGAGUGUGGAAUUCCUGGUGUAGCGGUGAAAUGCGCAGAUAUCAGGAAGAACACCUAUGGCGAAGGCAGCUCUCUGGGACGGUACUGACGCUGAGACGCGAAAGCGUGGGGAGCGAACAGG
RNAcentral lists this ribosomal RNA (253 nucleotides) under uncultured bacterium. RNAcentral's name for it is "partial 16S ribosomal RNA". It matches the Rfam family "Bacterial small subunit ribosomal RNA", at positions 524 to 776 of the family's 1533-position model. The record is from RNAcentral.